RNAcentral lists this ribosomal RNA (219 nucleotides) under uncultured marine eukaryote. RNAcentral describes it as "partial 18S ribosomal RNA". It matches the Rfam family "Eukaryotic small subunit ribosomal RNA", at positions 619 to 840 of the family's 1831-position model. The record is from RNAcentral.
UUAAAAAGCUCGUAGUUGGAUUUCUGCGGGGGCGGGGCGGCCGACCUCGACUCGAGGUUCGAGCUAGCACUUCCCCUGCAUCCUGCCGCGAACCGUGCUACCAUUAGUUUGGUGGCGCUGGAUCGGCUCGUUUACUUUGAGAAAAAUAGAGUGUUCAAAGCAGGCCACACGCCUUGAAUAAGUUAGCAUGGAAUAAUGAUAAAGGACUUCGGUUCUAUU